Molecule: ribosomal RNA, 253 nt
Filed under: uncultured bacterium
Lineage: Bacteria
Also listed under: 1 other name
Description: partial 16S ribosomal RNA
Rfam family: Bacterial small subunit ribosomal RNA
Source: RNAcentral
UACAGAGGGUGCGAGCGUUGUCCGGAAUCACUGGGCGUAAAGGGCGCGUAGGUGGCUGGGUAAGUGUGCGGUGAAAGCCCGGGGCUCAACCCCGGGUCGGCCGUGCAGACUGCUUGGCUUGAGCAUAGUAGAGGCAGGUGGAAUUCCGGGUGUAGCGGUGGAAUGCGUAGAGAUCCGGAAGAACACCGGUGGCGAAGGCGGCCUGCUGGGCUAUUGCUGACACUGAGGCGCGACAGCGUGGGGAGCAAACAGG